Molecule: ribosomal RNA, 497 nt
Filed under: uncultured bacterium
Lineage: Bacteria
Description: partial 16S ribosomal RNA
Rfam family: Bacterial small subunit ribosomal RNA
Source: RNAcentral
GAUGAACGCUGGCGGCGUGCCUAAUACAUGCAAGUCGAGCGAACAGACGAGGAGCUUGCUCCUCUGACGUUAGCGGCGGACGGGUGAGUAACACGUGGAUAACCCACCUAUAAGACUGGGAUAACUUCGGGAAACCGGAGCUAAUACCGGAUAAUAUAUUGAACCGCAUGGUUCAAUAGUGAAAGACGGUUUUGCUGUCACUUAUAGAUGGAUCCGCGCCGCAUUAGCUAGUUGGUAAGGUAACGGCUUACCAAGGCAACGAUGCGUAGCCGACCUGAGAGGGUGAUCGGCCACCCUGGAACUGAGACACGGUCCAGACUCCCACGGGAGGCAGCAGUAGGGAAUCUUCCGCAAUGGGCGAAAGCCUGACGGAGCAACGCCGCGUGAGUGAUGAAGGUCUUCGGAUCGUAAAGCUCUGUUAUUAGGGAGGAACAAAUGUGUAAGUAACUAUGCACGUCUUGACGGUACCUAAUCAGAAAGCCACGGCUAACUACGUG